CACAUGACCAUUAUAUUUUCAUUUUUCAAAUAAAAGAAACAGUUGGACCAUAUUACAUCUAGAGUCCAAUCCUGAAAAGCCAAGCACUGCAUGACUUUAUUAGUAAUGGGGGCAUAAAGAGAGAAGCGGGAGAAGCAAUGUGCAAAAUCCCAGCCUUAGCAAAAUCACUACCUUUCUCCUAAUGAGCUUGAAGAGGUUUUAAUUUCAGAAAUUGAAACUGACUGUCACUUGAGCAAUCUGAUAAUAUGUAAACUGGAUGCAACUAUUUCAUGUUAAAUCUAAGCCAUAUAUAAAAAUUGUUUGAGAAAUGAUGUGGCAAUCUUUCAGGACUGUCAUUUUUAUAACAGCUUGCAAAUAAAUAUACAUUUUUCUGAGACUCCUAGCAUGAUUUGUUCAUGCUGAACAUUAUUUUUUUCAGGAGUGGGAGAGACAAUUCUUGUUUUUCCAGUUGUUGUGAGGGUGUCUGAACGUGGCCCUGUGGAAUUUCAAAGCAAAUCCAGAUGGAUUAAAUAAAGGAAGCUUCUGAAAUGCAGACUGACCAGGGAAAAAUGAACAAGGGAGAAAUCAAUUUGGAUUAUCAGACUGAAACUAAAGAUAUCUAUGGACAUAUGAAACAGUAAAAGACAAUUAGAAAAUGUAUUUAUACUAAAUUAAAACUUUAUUGACUAAUGUUCUCCAGACAACAUGAUCUGACAAACUAUGGUUGCAUACAUGCAAUGAAGUUGAAGACAACAGUAGUUUAACAUGGAAUGUCAAACAAAUUAAUAUAAUGUAUUAAAUGAAACAAUUUAUCUGUGUUGCUGCAAAAUGAAACCAAGUUAUGUAUUUCCUUGGUCAAUCUGUGUUCAGCUAAGAGGCUAUGCAUUUGAAGAAACUGCAAAAGCCAUUUAGGCAUAUUUUAUUAUUAAUCCAGCACAAAGCACUUCUUCUAAGUUUCUCACAUAAAAGACUAAAGCUUGCUUACAGUACUACAUCUUCUAUCAUUCAAGCAUCAUUAUUACCUAUCAGGGAGAUUGGCUAGAUGACCUAAUGGGUCUUUUCCACCCCUAACUUCUACAAAAGAAAAUCAUUCAUGCCAGCAAGAACAUGGUUCGCUACAUCGUGGGCUUGAUCCUGCAGAUUUGUUGAGGCAAAACUCCCAACAACUUGAAAGAGAGAUUUUCCAGAGCAAGACAUCCAGGAUUAGGCCCUUUCGAUUUAUUUUUAUUUUAUUUUUAAAAGAGCAUCCAUUUAGGAUACAUGGAAAAUAGUUUAU
Molecule: long non-coding RNA, 1255 nt
Filed under: Serinus canaria (Common canary)
Lineage: Eukaryota; Metazoa; Chordata; Aves; Passeriformes; Fringillidae
Description: lncRNA (ENSSCAG00000014319.1)
Source: RNAcentral